AACGAACGCUGGCGGCAGGCUUAACACAUGCAAGUCGAACGCCCCGCAAGGGGAGUGGCAGACGGGUGAGUAACGCGUGGGAACGUACCUUUCGCUUCGGAACAUUCCCGGGAAACUGGGAGCAAUGCCGAAUACGCCGUAUUGGGAAAGAUUUAUCGGCGAAAGAUCGGCCCGCGUUAGAGUAGGUAGUUGGCGGUGUAAUGGACCACCAAGCCUACGAUCUAUAGCUGGUCUGAGAGGAUGAUCAGCCACACUGGGACUGAGACACGGCCCAGACUCCUACUGGAGGCAGCAGUGGAGAACUUUGGACAAUGGGCGCAAGCCUGAUCCAGCCAUGCCGGGUGAGUGAAGAAGGCCUUAGAGUUGUAAAACUCUUUCGCCGGAGAAGAUAAUGACGGUAUCCGGAGAAGAAGCCCCGGCUAACUUCGUGCCAGCAGCCGCCGUAA
Molecule: ribosomal RNA, 446 nt
Filed under: uncultured bacterium
Lineage: Bacteria
Description: partial 16S ribosomal RNA
Rfam family: Bacterial small subunit ribosomal RNA
Source: RNAcentral